This 2927-nucleotide ribosomal RNA is filed under the name Klebsiella oxytoca. RNAcentral's name for it is "23S ribosomal RNA". It matches the Rfam family "Bacterial large subunit ribosomal RNA". Lineage: Bacteria; Pseudomonadati; Pseudomonadota; Gammaproteobacteria; Enterobacterales; Enterobacteriaceae. The record is from RNAcentral.
GGGUUGUGAGGUUAAGCGACUAAGCGUACACGGUGGAUGCCCUGGCAGUCAGAGGCGAUGAAGGACGUGCUAAUCUGCGAAAAGCGUCGGUAAGGUGAUAUGAACCGUUAUAGCCGGCGAUGUCCGAAUGGGGAAACCCAGUGCAAUUCGUUGCACUAUCGUUAACUGAAUACAUAGGUUAACGAGGCGAACCGGGGGAACUGAAACAUCUAAGUACCCCGAGGAAAAGAAAUCAACCGAGAUUCCCCCAGUAGCGGCGAGCGAACGGGGAGCAGCCCGGAGUCUGAAUCAGCUUGUGUGUUAGUGGAAGCGUCUGGAAAGUCGCAGGGUACAGGGUGAUACUCCCGUACACUAAAGCACACAGGUUGUGAACUCGAAGAGUAGGGCGGGACACGUGGUAUCCUGUCUGAAUAUGGGGGGACCAUCCUCCAAGGCUAAAUACUCCUGACUGACCGAUAGUGAACCAGUACCGUGAGGGAAAGGCGAAAAGAACCCCGGCGAGGGGAGUGAAAAAGAACCUGAAACCGUGUACGUACAAGCAGUAGGAGCCCACUAGUUGGGUGACUGCGUACCUUUUGUAUAAUGGGUCAGCGACUUAUAUUCUGUAGCAAGGUUAACCGUAUAGGGGAGCCGCAGGGAAACCGAGUCUUAACUGGGCGUUAAGUUGCAGGGUAUAGACCCGAAACCCGGUGAUCUAGCCAUGGGCAGGUUGAAGGUUGGGUAACACUAACUGGAGGACCGAACCGACUAAUGUUGAAAAAUUAGCGGAUGACUUGUGGCUGGGGGUGAAAGGCCAAUCAAACCGGGAGAUAGCUGGUUCUCCCCGAAAGCUAUUUAGGUAGCGCCUCGUGAACUCAUCUUCGGGGGUAGAGCACUGUUUCGGCUAGGGGGUCAUCCCGACUUACCAACCCGAUGCAAACUACGAAUACCGAAGAAUGUUAUCACGGGAGACACACGGCGGGUGCUAACGUCCGUCGUGAAGAGGGAAACAACCCAGACCGCCAGCUAAGGUCCCAAAGUCAUGGUUAAGUGGGAAACGAUGUGGGAAGGCCCAGACAGCCAGGAUGUUGGCUUAGAAGCAGCCAUCAUUUAAAGAAAGCGUAAUAGCUCACUGGUCGAGUCGGCCUGCGCGGAAGAUGUAACGGGGCUAAACCAUGCACCGAAGCUGCGGCAGCGACACUAUGUGUUGUUGGGUAGGGGAGCGUUCUGUAAGCCGUUGAAGGUGGCCUGUGAGGGUUGCUGGAGGUAUCAGAAGUGCGAAUGCUGACAUAAGUAACGAUAAUGCGGGUGAAAAACCCGCACGCCGGAAGACCAAGGGUUCCUGUCCAACGUUAAUCGGGGCAGGGUGAGUCGACCCCUAAGGCGAGGCCGAAAGGCGUAGUCGAUGGGAAACAGGUUAAUAUUCCUGUACUCGGUGUUACUGCGAAGGGGGGACGGAGAAGGCUAUGUUGGCCGGGCGACGGUUGUCCCGGUUUAAGCAUGUAGGCGGAUGUUCCAGGUAAAUCCGGAACGUCACUAACGCUGAGGUGUGAUGACGAGGCACUACGGUGCUGAAGUGACAAAUGCCCUGCUUCCAGGAAAAGCCUCUAAGCAUCAGGUAACAUCAAAUCGUACCCCAAACCGACACAGGUGGUCAGGUAGAGAAUACCAAGGCGCUUGAGAGAACUCGGGUGAAGGAACUAGGCAAAAUGGUGCCGUAACUUCGGGAGAAGGCACGCUGAUGGUAGGUGAAGCGACUUGCUCGUGGAGCUGAAAUCAGUCGAAGAUACCAGCUGGCUGCAACUGUUUAUUAAAAACACAGCACUGUGCAAACACGAAAGUGGACGUAUACGGUGUGACGCCUGCCCGGUGCCGGAAGGUUAAUUGAUGGGGUUAUCCGUAAGGAGAAGCUCUUGAUCGAAGCCCCGGUAAACGGCGGCCGUAACUAUAACGGUCCUAAGGUAGCGAAAUUCCUUGUCGGGUAAGUUCCGACCUGCACGAAUGGCGUAAUGAUGGCCAGGCUGUCUCCACCCGAGACUCAGUGAAAUUGAACUCGCUGUGAAGAUGCAGUGUACCCGCGGCAAGACGGAAAGACCCCGUGAACCUUUACUAUAGCUUGACACUGAACACUGGUCCUUGAUGUGUAGGAUAGGUGGGAGGCUUUGAAGUGUGGACGCCAGUCUGCAUGGAGCCAUCCUUGAAAUACCACCCUUUAAUGGCUGGUGUUCUAACGUGGGCCCGUAAUCCGGGUUGCGGACAGUGUCUGGUGGGUAGUUUGACUGGGGCGGUCUCCUCCUAAAGAGUAACGGAGGAGCACGAAGGUCAGCUAAUCCUGGUCGGACAUCAGGAGGUUAGUGCAAUGGCAUAAGCUGGCUUGACUGCGAGCGUGACGGCGCGAGCAGGUGCGAAAGCAGGUCAUAGUGAUCCGGUGGUUCUGAAUGGAAGGGCCAUCGCUCAACGGAUAAAAGGUACUCCGGGGAUAACAGGCUGAUACCGCCCAAGAGUUCAUAUCGACGGCGGUGUUUGGCACCUCGAUGUCGGCUCAUCACAUCCUGGGGCUGAAGUAGGUCCCAAGGGUAUGGCUGUUCGCCAUUUAAAGUGGUACGCGAGCUGGGUUUAGAACGUCGUGAGACAGUUCGGUCCCUAUCUGCCGUGGGCGCUGGAGAAUUGAGGGGGGCUGCUCCUAGUACGAGAGGACCGGAGUGGACGCAUCACUGGUGUUCGGGUUGUCAUGCCAAUGGCAUUGCCCGGUAGCUAAAUGCGGAAGAGAUAAGUGCUGAAAGCAUCUAAGCACGAAACUUGCCCCGAGAUGAGUUCUCCCUGACUCCUUGAGAGUCCUGAAGGAACGUUGAAGACGACGACGUUGAUAGGCCGGGUGUGUAAGCGCAGCGAUGCGUUGAGCUAACCGGUACUAAUGAACCGUGAGGCUUAACCUUACAACGCCGAAG